Molecule: ribosomal RNA, 407 nt
Filed under: uncultured bacterium
Lineage: Bacteria
Description: partial 16S ribosomal RNA
Rfam family: Bacterial small subunit ribosomal RNA
Source: RNAcentral
GACGAACGCUGGCGGCGUGCUUAACACAUGCAAGUCGAACGAGGGGCGAACGGGUGAGUAACAUGUGGGUAACCUGCCUGUUUCUUUGGGAUAACGCUCGGAAAUGAGUGCUAAUACUGGAUGGAAGGAGAUGGGCUCGCGGCUUAUCAGCUUGUUGGAGGGGUGAUGGCUUACCCAGGCUUUGCCGGGUGGCCGGCAUGAUAGGGUGGACGGUAACAUUGAGACUGAGAUACCGCCCAGAGUCCUACGCGAGGCGGAAGUGGGGAAUUUUGGACAAUGGCGGGUACAUUGAUGCAGCGUCGCCGCGUAAGGGAUUGAGGCCUUCGGGUUGUGAACCUCUUUCGCUCGUGUGCGUGUAGCGGGUAAAGAAGCGCCGGCUAACUACGUGCCAGCAGCCGCGGUAAUUC